RNAcentral lists this ribosomal RNA (229 nucleotides) under uncultured bacterium. Its description in RNAcentral is "partial 16S ribosomal RNA". It matches the Rfam family "Bacterial small subunit ribosomal RNA", at positions 568 to 796 of the family's 1533-position model. The record is from RNAcentral.
UGCGCAGGCGGGGACGUAAGUCAGUGGUGAAAAGCUGCCGCUUAACGGUAGUCUUGCCAAUGAUACUGCGUUUCUUGAGUAUGGUUAAGGUAGGCGGAAUGUGCAGUGUAGCGGUGAAAUGCAUAGAUAUUGCACAGAAGGCCGAUUGCGGAGGCAGCUUACUGAGCCAUAACUGACGCUGAGGCACGAAAGCGUGGGGAUCAAACAGGAUUAGAUACCCUGGUAGUCC